Molecule: ribosomal RNA, 460 nt
Filed under: uncultured bacterium
Lineage: Bacteria
Description: partial 16S ribosomal RNA
Rfam family: Bacterial small subunit ribosomal RNA
Source: RNAcentral
CCUACGGGAGGCAGCAGUGAGGAAUAUUGGUCAAUGGCCGGAAGGCUGAACCAGCCAUGCCGCGUGAAGGUCAGUGCCCUAUGGGCGUUAAACUUCUUUUGUGCGGGAGCAAUAAUGGUCACGUGUGGCCAGACGAGAGUACCGUACGAAUAAGCAUCGGCUUACUCCGUGCCAGCAGCCGCGGUAAUACGGGGGAUGCAAGCGUUAUCCGGAUUUAUUGGGUUUAAAGGGUGCGUAGGCUGGGAGGUAAGUCAGCGGUGAAAUGCCCCCGCUCAACGGGGUGAAGUGCCAUUGAUACUGCCUUGCUGGAAUGCGGAUGCGGUGGGAGGAAUGUGUGGUGUAGCGGUGAAAUGCAUAGAUAUCACACAGAACACCGAUUGCGAAGGCAGCUCACGAAUCCGCGAUUGACGCUGAUGCACGAAAGCGUGGGUAUCAAACAGGAUUAGAUACCCCAGUAGUC